AUGGACCUUGUGGCCAGGAACAUGCAUCAGCACUGGUUCCUCCUCUUUCUGGUGGCAGCUCCCAGAUGUGUCCUGUCGCAGAUACAGCUGCAGGACUUGGGACCAAGCCUGGUGACGCCCUCGCAGACGCUGUCCCUCAUCUGCUCCGUCUCUGGAUUCUCUCUAACCAGCUAUAGUGUGUACUGGGUCCGCCAGGCCCCUGGAAAGGGUCUGGAUUGGAUUGGUACUAUAUGUAAUGGUGGAAGCACAGACUAUAACCCAAGUCUUAAGUCCCGACUCAGCAUCACCAGGGACACCUCCAAGAACCAAGUUUACCUAAAACUGAGCAACUCGGUAACUGAGGACACAGCCAUGUAUUAUUGUGCAAAAGACACACAGUCUUCCUUGAUCGCAUCUCUGUCCUGCUUUGUGAGCUGGGACAUUCGCUUGCGGUUGCCUGAGAGUUCUGGGACAGGACAGAGUCUCAUCUCCUCAAUCAAAGAUCAGAACGUGGACCUCUUCACUCUCCUUGAGGAUGGACCCAGUGACCUCUACCAGCCCCUUUUCAGGUUGGACCAGGUCGUCAGCUAUGAAUUCUACCUCCUCAUGAACAUGCAAAUUAGAUGA
This is a non-coding RNA of Sorex fumeus (smoky shrew), 606 nucleotides long. The record is from the annotation of a RefSeq genome assembly. Lineage: Eukaryota; Metazoa; Chordata; Mammalia; Eulipotyphla; Soricidae.